ACAACAGAGAUGGCACUGAGCAUGACGGGUGGCUCUCCAGCGGACGUGGAUUCUGGUGGACGCGUGGCAUUGGUAGAACAACAUUUGCUGCUCCUCCUGACCCUGCCGGGGCUAGAGGAGGGGCUUGGGGGUAUCUUCCCAGAGGGAAUGCAAUAAGAGUCACACUGUCCCUCACUGAAGCCACCCUGACAUCCCCUUCCACCCAGUGGCAUUUGCAACUGUACAGGGACAAAGCACGUGAGGGAAGGGGGUGCCGUGCUCAUUGGUGUGACUGACUGGUCCACAGACAGGAUUGUGUUUUUUCUGUAGGGGCUGUUACACGAACAUGUCGUUGACUAAUGAGCAUGAUUAUCAAAUGAUUCCUGUGAGUUGGUUGGGGGGAAAGGACGAAGGAGUAGCCUUUGGGGUGGGAGGGUUCGGCACCAGGUGAGGCUCAGGCCUGCCCACCCCCACCCCUGCUCUGUUUCCCGCUUCCCCGGCAGCUCUGGGUGGCCUUCCCCAGCCUGCUCUUGGCUGGUCCCAGGCUGCACACGCUGCUGUCACUCACUGCUGCUGCUCGGUUCCCGGGAGUUCGGCUUGUUCCUGAGUGAGCUAACAGGAGGCUCGGGAGGGCUGGGCACAACCUGGAGCCUGCGUCUGCCCAGCCAGCCCUCACAGAGUGACCCUUGCCUUGCCUGGGGCCCCCAGAUUUCAGGUGACAACUGCUUUUCACUUUCCCGUCUUUGGAGACCUAUAAAUGCUCCCAGCCAGAACACGUGGGAGGGUGUG
This is a non-coding RNA of Peromyscus maniculatus bairdii (prairie deer mouse), 768 nucleotides long. NCBI's taxonomy places the organism in Eukaryota, Metazoa, Chordata, Mammalia, Rodentia, Cricetidae. The record is from RefSeq and is a predicted model, not a curated record.